Molecule: ribosomal RNA, 468 nt
Filed under: uncultured bacterium
Lineage: Bacteria
Description: partial 16S ribosomal RNA
Rfam family: Bacterial small subunit ribosomal RNA
Source: RNAcentral
GACGAACGCUGGCGGCGUGCUUAACACAUGCAAGUCGAACGGAAAGGCCCUGCUUUUGUGGGGUGCUCGAGUGGCGAACGGGUGAGUAACACGUGAGUAACCUGCCCUUGACUUUGGGAUAACUUCAGGAAACUGGGGCUAAUACCGGAUAGGAGCUCCUGCUGCAUGGUGGGGGUUGGAAAGUUUCGGCGGUUGGGGAUGGACUCGCGGCUUAUCAGCUUAUUGGUGGGGUAGUGGCUUACCAAGGCUUUGACGGGUAGCCGGCCUGAGAGGGUGACCGGCCACAUUGGGACUGAGAUAAGGCCCAGACUCCUACGGGAGGCAGCAGUGGGGAAUAUUGCACAAUGGGCGGAAGCCUGAUGCAGCAACGCCGCGUGCGGGAUGACGGCCUUCGGGUUGUAAACUGCUUUCGCCUGUGACGAAGCGUGAGUGACGGUAAUGGGUAAAGAAGCACCGGCUAACUACGUG